This 253-nucleotide ribosomal RNA is filed under the name uncultured bacterium. RNAcentral's name for it is "partial 16S ribosomal RNA". It matches the Rfam family "Bacterial small subunit ribosomal RNA", at positions 524 to 776 of the family's 1533-position model. The record is from RNAcentral.
UACGAAGGGGGCUAGCGUUGUUCGGAAUCACUGGGCGUAAAGCGCACGUACGCGGGCCGCUAAGUUGGGGGUGAAAGCCCAGGGCUCAACCCUGGAAAUGCCUGCUAUACUCUCUGUCUCGAGUUUGGGAGAGGUGAGUGGAAUACCUAGUGUAGAGGUGAAAUUCGUAGAUAUUAGGGAGAACACCAGUGGCGAAGGCGGCUCACUGGUCCGAUUCUGACGCUGAGGUGCGAAAGCGUGGGGAGCAAACAGG